This 266-nucleotide unclassified non-coding RNA is filed under the name Hevea brasiliensis (rubber tree). The record is from RNAcentral. Lineage: Eukaryota; Viridiplantae; Streptophyta; Magnoliopsida; Malpighiales; Euphorbiaceae.
CUAUAAUCGAACACGAAAUUUCAUUCUGUACUGCAGUUCUUAAUCUUGAAAAAUAUGUAGAUGGCAUCUUAACCCUUUAAACAAAGCAAUUUUGCUCGAACCCUUUCUACUACAAAAAACAGAACUGUUACCACCAUAUACAAAAUACAAUCUCAUAACCUUCAGCACAUCUAUGCGUUAAAAUACUAUCAUAUAAAUCAUCUUGCCCCACAAACCUUUAUGGAAAACAACCAGAAAUAUAAACUGUGGAAUCAGAUCCUCUUAUC